RNAcentral lists this ribosomal RNA (209 nucleotides) under uncultured bacterium. RNAcentral's name for it is "partial 16S ribosomal RNA". It matches the Rfam family "Bacterial small subunit ribosomal RNA", at positions 568 to 774 of the family's 1533-position model. The record is from RNAcentral.
CGCGUAGGCGGCCAUGUCAGUUGGGAGUGAAAAGCCCCCGGGCUCAACCUGGGAACUGCUCUCAAUACUGCGUGGCUUGAGAACGGGAGAGGGUAGUGGAAUUCCCAGUGUAGAGGUGAAAUUCGUAGAUAUUGGGAAGAACACCAGUGGCGAAGGCGGCUGCCUGGCCCGUUUCUGACGCUGAGGCGCGAAAGCGUGGGGAGCAAACA